AAUAGAUACCCGGGUAGUCCACGCCGUAAACGAUGGAUACUAGCUGUCAGAGGUAUCGACCCCUCUGGUAGCGAAGCUAACGCGUUAAGUAUCCCGCCUGUGGAGUACGGCCGCAAGGCUAAAACAUAAAGGAAUUGACGGGGACCCGCACAAGCGGUGGAUCAUGUUCUUUAAUUCGAUGAUAAACGAUAAACCUUACCAGGGCUUGACAUCCCGAGAAUUACUCCGAAAGGAGUGAGUGCUUUAUUGAACUCGGUGACAGAUCCUGCAUGGCCGUCGUCAGCUCGUGUCGUGAGAUGUUUGGUUAAGUCCAUCAACGAGCGCAACCCUUGUGAAUAGUCGUAUUUUUCUAUUCAGACUGCCCCGGCAACGGGGAGGAAGGAGGGGAUGAUGUCAGGUCAGUAUUAGUCUUACGUCCUGGGCUAGAAACGUGAUACAAUGGCCGGUACAAUGCGUAGCGAAGCAGUAAUGUGAAGCAAAUCGUAUCAAAGCCGGUCCCAGUUCGGAUUGGGGGCUGAAACUCGCCCCAUGAAGUCGG
This 538-nucleotide ribosomal RNA is filed under the name uncultured bacterium. RNAcentral's name for it is "bacterial SSU rRNA". It matches the Rfam family "Bacterial small subunit ribosomal RNA", at positions 777 to 1329 of the family's 1533-position model. The record is from RNAcentral.